Molecule: ribosomal RNA, 486 nt
Filed under: uncultured bacterium
Lineage: Bacteria
Description: partial 16S ribosomal RNA
Rfam family: Bacterial small subunit ribosomal RNA
Source: RNAcentral
AUUGAACGCUGGCGGCAUGCCUUACACAUGCAAGUCGAACGGCAGCACGGGUGCUUGCACCUGGUGGCGAGUGGCGAAAGGGUGAGUAAUACAUCGGGACAUGUCCUGUAGUGGGGGAUAGCCCGGCGAAAGCCGGAUUAAUACCGCAUAAGAUCUACGGAAGAAAGGGGGGGACCUUCGGGCCUCGCGCUGUGGGGUUGGCCGAUGGCUGAUUAGCUAGUUGGUGGGGUAAAGGCCUACCAAGGCGACGAUCAGUAGCUGGUCUGAGAGGACGACCAGCCACACUGGGACUGAGACACGGCCCAGACUCCUACGGGAGGCAGCAGUGGGGAAUUUUGGACAAUGGGCGAAAGCCUGAUCCAGCAAUGCCGCGUGUGUGAAGAAGGCCUUCGGGUUGUAAAGCACUUUUGUCCGGAAAGAAAUCCUUGGCCCUAAUACGGUCGGGGGAUGACGGUACCGGAAGAAUAAGCACCGGCUAACUACGUG